AAAUUGAAGAGUUUGAUCAUGGCUCAGAUUGAACGCUGGCGGCAGGCCUAACACAUGCAAGUCGAACGGUAACAGGAAGCAGCUUGCUGCUUCGCUGACGAGUGGCGGACGGGUGAGUAAUGUCUGGGAAACUGCCUGAUGGAGGGGGAUAACUACUGGAAACGGUAGCUAAUACCGCAUAACGUCGCAAGACCAAAGAGGGGGACCUUAGGGCCUCUUGCCAUCGGAUGUGCCCAGAUGGGAUUAGCUAGUAGGUGGGGUAACGGCUCACCUAGGCGACGAUCCCUAGCUGGUCUGAGAGGAUGACCAGCCACACUGGAACUGAGACACGGUCCAGACUCCUACGGGAGGCAGCAGUGGGGAAUAUUGCACAAUGGGCGCAAGCCUGAUGCAGCCAUGCCGCGUGUAUGAAGAAGGCCUUCGGGUUGUAAAGUACUUUCAGCGGGGAGGAAGGGAGUAAAGUUAAUACCUUUGCUCAUUGACGUUACCCGCAGAAGAAGCACCGGCUAACUCCGUGCCAGCAGCCGCGGUAAUACGGAGGGUGCAAGCGUUAAUCGGAAUUACUGGGCGUAAAGCGCACGCAGGCGGUUUGUUAAGUCAGAUGUGAAAUCCCCGGGCUCAACCUGGGAACUGCAUCUGAUACUGGCAAGCUUGAGUCUCGUAGAGGGGGGUAGAAUUCCAGGUGUAGCGGUGAAAUGCGUAGAGAUCUGGAGGAAUACCGGUGGCGA
This 728-nucleotide ribosomal RNA is filed under the name Streptococcus pneumoniae. RNAcentral describes it as "bacterial SSU rRNA". It matches the Rfam family "Bacterial small subunit ribosomal RNA", at positions 1 to 718 of the family's 1533-position model. The record is from RNAcentral. Lineage: Bacteria; Bacillati; Bacillota; Bacilli; Lactobacillales; Streptococcaceae.